RNAcentral lists this ribosomal RNA (465 nucleotides) under uncultured bacterium. Its description in RNAcentral is "bacterial SSU rRNA". It matches the Rfam family "Bacterial small subunit ribosomal RNA", at positions 338 to 795 of the family's 1533-position model. The record is from RNAcentral.
CCUACGGGGGGCACCAGUGGGGAAUAUUGCACAAUGGGCGCAAGCCUGAUGCAGCCAUGCCGCGUGUAUGAAGAAGGCCUUCGGGUUGUAAAGUACUUUCAGCAGGGAGGAAGGUAUUGUGGUUAAUAACCGCAGCAAUUGACGUUACCCGCAGAAGAAGCACCGGCUAACUCCGUGCCAGCAGCCGCGGUAAUACGGAGGGUGCAAGCGUUAAUCGGAAUUACUGGGCGUAAAGCGCACGCAGGAGGUCUGUCAAGUCGGAUGUGAAAUCCCCGGGCUCAACCUGGGAACUGCAUUCGAAACUGGCAGGCUAGAGUCUUGUAGAGGGGGGUAGAAUUCCAGGUGUAGCGGUGAAAUGCGUAGAGAUCUGGAGGAAUACCGGUGGCGAAGGCGGCCCCCUGGACAAAGACUGACGCUCAGGUGCGAAAGCGUGGGGAGCAAACAGGAUUAGAUACCCUCGUAGUC